UGAACGCUGGCGGCGUGCCUAACACAUGCAAGUCGAGCGGGAUUUUCCGGAUUGAAGCUUCGGUAGAUUGGAGGAUAGUGGCGGACGGGUGAGUAACGCGUGAGCAACCUGCCCUCUGUGAGGGGAACAACGCAUGGAAACGUGCGCUAAUACCGCAUAACGCAUACUGAUUGCAUGGUUGGUAUGUUAAAGGAGCAAUCCGCAUAGAGAUGGGCUCGCGUCUGAUUAGAUAGUUGGUGAGGUAACGGCUCACCAAGUCGACGAUCAGUAGCCGGACUGAGAGGUUGAACGGCCACAUUGGGACUGAGAUACGGCCCAGACUCCUACGGGAGGCAGCAGUCGGGAAUAUUGCGCAAUGGAGGAAACUCUGACGCAGUGACGCCGCGUAUAGGAAGAAGGUUUUCGGAUUGUAAACUAUUGUCUGCAGGGAAGAAAAUGACGGUACCUGACUAAGAAGCCCCGGCUAACUACGUG
Molecule: ribosomal RNA, 474 nt
Filed under: uncultured bacterium
Lineage: Bacteria
Description: bacterial SSU rRNA
Rfam family: Bacterial small subunit ribosomal RNA
Source: RNAcentral